RNAcentral lists this long non-coding RNA (599 nucleotides) under Chrysolophus pictus (golden pheasant). RNAcentral describes it as "lncRNA (ENSCPIG00010004263.1)". Lineage: Eukaryota; Metazoa; Chordata; Aves; Galliformes; Phasianidae. The record is from RNAcentral.
GCUGCAUAGACUGCCUGUGCUGAUGGCAUUUGUGCUGGUUGCUGUAGUCUUGGCACUGGGGAUUUUCCUGCUCUCCCUGUUCGUCAGGCGAAAGUGCAACAGAUCAAACGCCUCUGAGAUCAACAGCAGUAUCCCCCUUCAGAAGCGUCGCAGAGGUGCCAGUAAUCUGAACACACUGAUCCUGGUGGAGGAACUGCUGGAUGCUCUGAAGAGGCUUCAAAGGGCAGAGAUAGAGGCAGAGCAGAUGGAGGAUGAAUCAGUUGACAGGCACGAGGCAGGGCGUCUGGGCGAAUACCAGAAACUGGCCUCCUCUCUGCGCCACUCCUGUAAUGCUGGGAAGGAGCUGUGUAACAAGGGCAAGAACCGCUACAAGAGCAUCAUUCCGUACGAUCACUGCCGUGUGGUGCUGCAGCCCUCUGACACGGGGAAUGACUACAUCAAUGCCAGCUACGUGGAUGUAGGUAGCGAGGAGGAUGGCUCCUCUAUUUCUCGCCUUAUUAAAUGUUUAACAUGGGUGACUGGAGCUGUUUGAAACUCUCCCCCACAGAGCUACCGGAGCCCGCGAUUCUUCAUUGCUGCUCAAGGCCCUUUGCCUGAGA